UGCGCAGGCGGCGCUUUAAGUCAGAUGUGAAAUACCCGGGCUUAACCUGGGGGGUGCAUUUGAAACUGGAGCACUUGAGUGCAGGAGAGGUAAGUGGAAUUCCUAGUGUAGCGGUGAAAUGCGUAGAUAUUAGGAGGAACACCAGUGGCGAAGGCGACUUACUGGACUGUAACUGACGCUGAGGCACGAAAGCGUGGGGAGCAAACAGGAUUAGAUACCCUGGUAGUCCACGCUGUAAACGAUGGAUACUAGGUGUAGGGGGCGAUAGUCCUCUGUGCCGCAGCUAACGCAAUAAGUAUCCCGCCUGGGGAGUACGAUCGCAAGGUUGAA
RNAcentral lists this ribosomal RNA (330 nucleotides) under uncultured bacterium. Its description in RNAcentral is "bacterial SSU rRNA". It matches the Rfam family "Bacterial small subunit ribosomal RNA", at positions 568 to 898 of the family's 1533-position model. The record is from RNAcentral.